Cydia splendana is the source of this 1039-nucleotide long non-coding RNA. RefSeq lists it as uncharacterized. The record is from RefSeq and is a predicted model, not a curated record. NCBI's taxonomy places the organism in Eukaryota, Metazoa, Arthropoda, Insecta, Lepidoptera, Tortricidae. The transcript is spliced from 2 exons.
CUAGUGCCUACGCCAAUUCUUGGGAUUAGUUGUCAAUUGGAUCUCAGUCUCCCAUGAGCCGUGGCAAUAUGCCGGGAUAACGCGAGGAAGAUGAUGAUAGGUUCUGCCAUCUUGUGGGCUACAUCGGAAGCAUAAACGACACAUUUACGCCUCGCGCCAAAAAUCUGACGGCUCCUAUGCUGCCCCCUAUAGUUCAUGCACGGGGCCUAUAACUACUGUUAUGACGACCGAUUCCAUAAAGCUUAAAAUAUACGGUGUUAAAAUGGAAUUUUCGUUUAAACCAUUACGGCGUCGUACGUUAUUAUGCGGUUACUAGGUAUCCAAGCGCUAACAUUUGGCAAUCCAGUUAGGUAGGUACAUCAGAACACCAUCUAGCUAUAUCUACUAAGUUAACGAUAUUGCGCUGCCAAGUUAAUCUUAGUAGCCCUAUGUCUAUCGCCUUGACAAAUCUUGCCAGAUUGGAGUUUUAAAACCGUAACUAAAUGUAGCCUUAUAUAAUUUGUCUAACCGCGCAGCGGCUUAAGGCCGAAACACACUGCAUGCAUUAUGCUUGUUCCUUCUAACUGUGUAGUUCAUGGCUUGCGUACCUACCGUACUCUCGAAUGCUUAAGGGUGGAAUUCCACCUAUCCAAAAUUUGGUCAAAUGUGCACUCACAUAAAAAAAAUACAAAUCUGAUCAAAUAUUGGACGUGUGGAAUACCACCCUAAGCCAUGCAACACGGCGGUGUGGCAUACGGUGUGGUUGGGCCUGUAUUCAUUGCUCAUAUUUAAUUUUAUGGGGAAAUGAUCUCUACCGAAUAACUCUGUUUACAUCAAACUAAAUGUUAGGUUAUCUGACAUUGAUUUGUUUUCCCAAACUCGACGUGUUUUGAACACUGACAGCUGUGCUGCAACACAUUUAUUUAAGACUAAUGUGUAUUAUUAGAACCUCAAGUCGUUGAUACCUAAUAUGUAUGUGACAGUGUUUUAUUUUUGUAUUUUGAUAAAAUUUGUGUAAAUAAUUUUCUUAUUUUAUUGAUAUUAAACUCAAUUUAAUCAA